This is a long non-coding RNA of Oxyura jamaicensis (ruddy duck), 768 nucleotides long. RefSeq lists it as uncharacterized. The transcript is spliced from 2 exons. The record is from RefSeq and is a predicted model, not a curated record. NCBI's taxonomy places the organism in Eukaryota, Metazoa, Chordata, Aves, Anseriformes, Anatidae.
GGAUAGAAGUAUAUAAAUACCUCCCUGGGUAAUGCUAUACCUGGCUGGGAGAGAAAACUGCUUGCAGUAGGACAGGCAGAUACCCAGCUGCAUGCUGGCUGCAGGUAUGGAUCCAGCACCAAGAGAAGAACUGAGAUUGAUGGCUGAGAUAGUAAUGACUUUUUUUCCAUGGAGAGCCAGGUGCUGUGAUUUCAGUCUCCAACCUCACUCAGGACAGAGCAGGAUCUGCUGUGAGCUGGCUGAGCUACAAACCACAGGAGAGAGGUUGGUGGAAGAGGCAGAAACCCUCUUUUCUCUGAGGCUGAGCAGAAGAAACACAGGAUAUGACAUCUGCUGAGUCUCCAGGUGGCUGGUUGGUGUUCUGCUCGGGGUCAAAUUGCUCACCAGCUUGCACAUCAGUCACUGGGAACCCCUUCCCAUCCCUGAGCUCUGCGUGGUCGCUGCAUUCAGCUGUGGAGGAACAGUGUAUCUGACAGCCCUCAAAGGUUUAAUAAUUAUUUGCUCUGCUUUGUGUUAGCAUUCCCCGUGUGCAUGUAUUGUAAUUGUUGCGUUUUACAUGUUCUUGGCACUCUCCAGAGAGUAAAGUUUCUGUCAGUAAUUCUUCAGUGAAGCAUAAAAAUGUCUGUUUAAAGAUCUAUUAUAAACCAGACUGCAUGUGUUUGUCCAUUUUCACUCAACUGGCCAACAGUGUGUAAUAAUACUUCAAGAUGAAAGAUGUUAACUUUACAGAUAUGUACAAGUUGGAGCAAUAAAGGCAUUAGUCAAGCA